GACGAACGCUGGCGGCGUGCCUAAUACAUGCAAGUUGAGCGCUGAAGGUUGGUACUUGUACCAACUGGAUGAGCAGCGAACGGGUGAGUAACGCGUGGGGAAUCUGCCUUUGAGCGGGGGACAACAUUUGGAAACGAAUGCUAAUACCGCAUAAAAACUUUAAACACAAGUUUUAAGUUUGAAAGAUGCAAUUGCAUCACUCAAAGAUGAUCCCGCGUUGUAUUAGCUAGUUGGUGAGGUAAAGGCUCACCAAGGCGAUGAUACAUAGCCGACCUGAGAGGGUGGUCGGCCACAUUGGGACUGAGACACGGCCCAAACUCCUACGGGAGGCAGCAGUAGGGAAUCUUCGGCAAUGGGCGAAAGUCUGACCGAGCAACGCCGCGUGAGUGAAGAAGGUUUUCGGAUCGUAAAACUCUGUUGGUAGAGAAGAACGUUGGUGAGAGUGGAAAGCUCAUCAAGUGACGGUAACUACCCAGAAAGGGACGGCUAACUACGUG
This 497-nucleotide ribosomal RNA is filed under the name uncultured bacterium. RNAcentral describes it as "partial 16S ribosomal RNA". It matches the Rfam family "Bacterial small subunit ribosomal RNA", at positions 28 to 507 of the family's 1533-position model. The record is from RNAcentral.